Molecule: long non-coding RNA, 975 nt
Organism: Mauremys mutica (yellowpond turtle)
Lineage: Eukaryota; Metazoa; Chordata; Testudines; Geoemydidae
Exons: 6
Source: RefSeq, a predicted model, not a curated record
AAUUGUAUGGCAAAUUCUACAUACUAUUCCCCCAGCACCUGACGCAGUCCAGAUUCCCAAGUAGGGGCCACGAUUUGCGACCCUUUCUUGCACUGAGUAAUGCUUACUCAUGUGAGUAAUCCUAAUGACAUCAACAGGACUAAUCAUGUGGAUAAAUGCUACUCAGAGUGAGUAAGGGUUGAAGAAUCAGAAAAGCAAGUUAUAUAAUGACAUUCUUCAGCAAGAUAUUUCCAAGGAUUGGGGAUUUGGAGAUGUCUCUUACCCUUGCUUGGCCAAGGUAGUCUUCAUCCAAUGCUGGAGGUAACAUCCUGCAAUAGUGGCCCCUGCGACAACUGAUUGAAGUGCUUUUGUGUGUGGACUCAAGAUCAGAGUGGAAUUAUCAAAGUUCUGAAGAAAGACUGCUCUCCUGGAAUUUCUGGCAUGACAGAAGGCAGGAAGCUUCAGAAAACAUUUUAAGACAACUUGUUACUGCAAAGUUUCCACUCCAGCUUGGCAGACCUCAGAAUAUUCAGAUAAACAUCCCAAUUGGACCUCUGACCCUUUUAAGCACAUCAGCAUCCGAGCCAGAGAAAGAACCCAACAGCCCUGAGUAUCUUUUGAAGAUAGUAGGUGAUCCAAGUUAGUUCUGUUCACUGAUUAAGAUCUGCCUGAGGUUUCAUGCAGGGGAAGCUUAGUCCAUAAGGACUGAGAUCCCAGUUCUGACUGAACAACCCUGAAAUAUAAACAUUGGACUCUAACCUAUGAACUAUUUCUGAAAGAACUCUUUGCAACUACAAAGCUCACCAUCUCUGCUAUGAAUCUGAAUCUCAAGACUGUACUCAUGUCCGUAUGUAUACUGAUCCUUUAACCAAUGCUCUCUAGCUCUUCUUUUUUAAUAAAUUUUAGUUUAGUUAAUAAGAAUUGGCUGUGAGUGGGUAUUUGGGUAGGAUCUGGAAUAUUCAUUAACCUGGGAGGUAAUGUGUCCGAUUCUUUGGG